CAAGUUAACUAUGUAGAUAGAAUUUUCUUUUACACUGGAAGUUUUAACGUGCAAUUCGUUAUAAUUUGA
This 69-nucleotide transfer RNA is filed under the name Balta maculata. RNAcentral describes it as "tRNA-Val". The record is from RNAcentral. Lineage: Eukaryota; Metazoa; Arthropoda; Insecta; Blattodea; Pseudophyllodromiidae.